RNAcentral lists this long non-coding RNA (243 nucleotides) under Ananas comosus (pineapple). RNAcentral's name for it is "long non-coding RNA (ACOM_LNC022666)". The record is from RNAcentral. Lineage: Eukaryota; Viridiplantae; Streptophyta; Magnoliopsida; Poales; Bromeliaceae.
UGAGAGAGAGAGAGAGAGAGAGAGAGAGAAAAGGUCAAAAAAUUGUUUUUUUUUUUGUGGAUCUUUGGGUUCAUCAACUUAUGCAGAAAUAAUAAAGUCACACAACAAAAUCAAGCUGUUAUAUUUUCGAGAGGACAAGUCAGCAUUUUGUUACAUUGGUUCAAAAGUUUUGCCUACCACAUAGGGUUUGAAUUUUCUUAAAAAGAGUAAGAUUUUCAUGUCUCGACUUGAUCGGCUAACUUG